Molecule: ribosomal RNA, 498 nt
Filed under: uncultured bacterium
Lineage: Bacteria
Description: bacterial SSU rRNA
Rfam family: Bacterial small subunit ribosomal RNA
Source: RNAcentral
GAUGAACGCUGGCGGCGUGCCUAACACAUGCAAGUCGAACGAAGCUGUUUAACGGAAGCCUUCGGGUGGAAGUUAAAUAGACUGAGUGGCGGACGGGUGAGUAACGCGUGGGUAACCUGCCCUACACAGGGGGACAACAGCUGGAAACGGCUGCUAAUACCGCAUAAGCGCACAGUACCGCAUGGUACAGUGUGAAAAACUCCGGUGGUGUAGGAUGGACCCGCGUCCGAUUAGCUAGUUGGUAAGGUAACGGCUUACCAAGGCAACGAUCAGUAGCCGGACUGAGAGGUCGAUCGGCCACAUUGGGACUGAGACACGGCCCAGACUCCCACGGGAGGCAGCAGUGGGGAAUAUUGGGCAAUGGGCGAAAGCCUGACCCAGCGACGCCGCGUGGAGGAAGAAGGUUUUCGGAUUGUAAACUCCUGUCUUCGGGGAAGAUAAUGACGGUACCCGAGGAGGAAGCCACGGCUAACUACGUGCCAGCCGCCGCGGUAAUAC